Molecule: ribosomal RNA, 1150 nt
Filed under: Lacticaseibacillus casei
Lineage: Bacteria; Bacillati; Bacillota; Bacilli; Lactobacillales; Lactobacillaceae
Description: bacterial SSU rRNA
Rfam family: Bacterial small subunit ribosomal RNA
Source: RNAcentral
AUCGGUGCUUGCACCGAGAUUCAACAUGGAACGAGUGGCGGACGGGUGAGUAACACGUGGGUAACCUGCCCUUAAGUGGGGGAUAACAUUUGGAAACAGAUGCUAAUACCGCAUAGAUCCAAGAACCGCAUGGUUCUUGGCUGAAAGAUGGCGUAAGCUAUCGCUUUUGGAUGGACCCGCGGCGUAUUAGCUAGUUGGUGAGGUAAUGGCUCACCAAGGCGAUGAUACGUAGCCGAACUGAGAGGUUGAUCGGCCACAUUGGGACUGAGACACGGCCCAAACUCCUACGGGAGGCAGCAGUAGGGAAUCUUCCACAAUGGACGCAAGUCUGAUGGAGCAACGCCGCGUGAGUGAAGAAGGCUUUCGGGUCGUAAAACUCUGUUGUUGGAGAAGAAUGGUCGGCAGAGUAACUGUUGUCGGCGUGACGGUAUCCAACCAGAAAGCCACGGCUAACUACGUGCCAGCAGCCGCGGUAAUACGUAGGUGGCAAGCGUUAUCCGGAUUUAUUGGGCGUAAAGCGAGCGCAGGCGGUUUUUUAAGUCUGAUGUGAAAGCCCUCGGCUUAACCGAGGAAGCGCAUCGGAAACUGGGAAACUUGAGUGCAGAAGAGGACAGUGGAACUCCAUGUGUAGCGGUGAAAUGCGUAGAUAUAUGGAAGAACACCAGUGGCGAAGGCGGCUGUCUGGUCUGUAACUGACGCUGAGGCUCGAAAGCAUGGGUAGCGAACAGGAUUAGAUACCCUGGUAGUCCAUGCCGUAAACGAUGAAUGCUAGGUGUUUGGAAGGGUUUCCGCCCUUCAGUGCCGCAGCUAACGCAUUAAGCAUUCCGCCUGGGGGAGUACGACCGCAAGGUUGAAACUCAAAGGAAUUGACGGGGGCCCGCACAAGCGGUGGAGCAUGGUGGUUUAAUUCGAAGCAACGCGAAGAACCUUACCAGGUCUUGACAUCUUUUGAUCACCUGAGAGAUCAGGUUUCCCCUUCGGGGGCAAAAUGACAGGUGGUGGCAGGGUUGUCGUCAGCUCCUGUCCUGGAAAUGUUUGGGGUUAAGUCCCCCCACCAAGCGCAACCCCUUAUGACUAAGUUGCCAGGCAUUUAAGUUGGGCACUCCUAGUAAAAACUGCCGGGUGACAAACCCGAAGAAAAGAGGGGGGG